UACGGGGGGGGCAAGCGUUGUUCGGAAUUACUGGGCGUAAAGGGCUCGUAGGCGGCCAACUAAGUCAGACGUGAAAUCCCCAGGCUCAACCUGGGAACUGCGUCUGAUACUGGAUGGCUUGAAUCCGGGAGAGGGAUGCGGAAUUCCAGGUGUAGCGGUGAAAUGCGUAGAUAUCUGGAGGAAUACCGGUGGCGAAGGCGGCAUCCUGGACCGGCAUUGACGCUGAGGAGCGAAAGCUAGGGGAGCAAACGGG
RNAcentral lists this ribosomal RNA (253 nucleotides) under uncultured bacterium. RNAcentral describes it as "partial 16S ribosomal RNA". It matches the Rfam family "Bacterial small subunit ribosomal RNA", at positions 524 to 776 of the family's 1533-position model. The record is from RNAcentral.